RNAcentral lists this long non-coding RNA (538 nucleotides) under Selaginella moellendorffii. RNAcentral describes it as "long non-coding RNA (SMOE_LNC001340)". Lineage: Eukaryota; Viridiplantae; Streptophyta; Lycopodiopsida; Selaginellales; Selaginellaceae. The record is from RNAcentral.
UUACCUUGCAUUUGAGCUUCUGGAGGUCGGACGGGAGAUCAUGGGAAAGGCGCGAGUCCAUUCCGCGUAGCAGCAGCACGCCGUCGCGGCGGAGCUGGAAAAUGUCGAUCGGUAAACAUCCAAGCAUCGAUUUCUUGGCUUGAAUUUGGCCUACCUUUCGGGUGUAGUGCGAUUUAAUCCAGUCAGGGCUUGCGUGUAGCGGCAUAUUGCUCUCCACCGCUGGCCUCGCCACGACGUGCGUCGAUGGGAGCGACGAGACGAUCCUGAUGUCGUCUCUCAAGAUCCUCUUGAAGUGCUCCACAUCGAAAAUCUCCGAGAAUUCGCUGCGAUGGAAAAGCUCCUUUGGUGGGAAAUUUUGUCAAAGAUUUUUUGCUAGCGCCUACCUCUCAUCGCCCCAAAUCUGGUUGACUUGCAGCACUGGAAUCACAAGCGCGGCCUCGAGAAUCCUGGCGAUGAGCACGGCGUCGACGAUCUGGUUCCUCUGUUGAUUCAAUCCUCCGUUCACGACCACCAUGAGAUACUUCCUCCUCUGCCGGAU